UUAGUACGGCGAGUGAGCGGUAAAAGCUCAAAUUUGAAAUCUGGUACUUUCAGUGCCCGAGUUGUAAUUUGUAGAAUUUGUCUUUGAUUAGGUCCUUGUCUAUGUUCCUUGGAACAGGACGUCAUAGAGGGUGAGAAUCCCGUUUGGCGAGGAUACCUUUUCUCUGUAAGACUUUUUCGAAGAGUCGAGUUGUUUGGGAAUGCAGCUCAAAGUGGGUGGUAAAUUCCAUCUAAAGCUAAAUAUUGGCGAGAGACCGAUAGCGAACAAGUACAGUGAUGGAAAGAUGAAAAGAACUUUGAAAAGAGAGUGAAAAAGUACGUGAAAUUGUUGAAAGGGAAGGGCAUUUGAUCAGACAUGGUGUUUUUUGCAUGCACUCGCCUCUCGUGGGCUUGGGCCUCUCAAAAAUUUCACUGGGCCAACAUCAAUUCUGGCAGCAGGAUAAAUCAUUAAGAAUGUAGCUACUUCGGUAGUGUUAUAGCUUUUUGGAAUACUGUUAGCCGGGAUUGAGGACUGCGCUUCGGCAAGGAUGUUGGCAUAAUGGUUAAAUGCCGCCCGUCUU
Molecule: ribosomal RNA, 559 nt
Filed under: Hanseniaspora uvarum
Lineage: Eukaryota; Fungi; Ascomycota; Saccharomycetes; Saccharomycodales; Saccharomycodaceae
Description: partial large subunit ribosomal RNA
Rfam family: Eukaryotic large subunit ribosomal RNA
Source: RNAcentral